RNAcentral lists this unclassified non-coding RNA (346 nucleotides) under Nocardia veterana. RNAcentral's name for it is "16S-23S ribosomal RNA intergenic spacer". The record is from RNAcentral. Lineage: Bacteria; Bacillati; Actinomycetota; Actinomycetes; Mycobacteriales; Nocardiaceae.
CUAAGGAGCAUCUCCGAUUCUCGUGCCACACAGGUGGUGUCGAGGUUGGCAGAGCCGCUUAUGUUCCCGAAUGUGGAACUGCGGAGCUCAUGGGUGGAACGCUGACAAUCUCCAUCGCAUCGACGGCGAUCCUCUGUGGUUGCCGGCGGUGGAUAUAUCGACACACUGUUGGGUCCUGAAAGAACAGACGUUCUUUCCAGGCAAAAAAUAGAUCUGCUCAGGUUUUCUGUGAUACCGGCUUUCUUCGGAGGGUGCUGGUCCUGAAGUUUCGAUCUGGGUGGGUGUGUUGUUUGAGAACUGCACAGUGGACGCGAGCAUCUUUGUUAGUAAGUGUUUAAGAGCGUAC